Molecule: ribosomal RNA, 122 nt
Filed under: Salvator merianae (Argentine black and white tegu)
Lineage: Eukaryota; Metazoa; Chordata; Lepidosauria; Squamata; Teiidae
Source: RNAcentral
CUACAUAGCUUCAGCAUUUAGGCAGCUCUCACCAAUCUUAUCUGAGCUCAGAUGUGAAGUAAGGUUGAGCUCAGUUUGUUCUUGGAUGGGAGACCACUUGGAAAUAUAACAUGCUAUAGGGU